RNAcentral lists this ribosomal RNA (637 nucleotides) under Triticum aestivum (bread wheat). RNAcentral describes it as "partial small subunit ribosomal RNA". Lineage: Eukaryota; Viridiplantae; Streptophyta; Magnoliopsida; Poales; Poaceae. The record is from RNAcentral.
CGCGCGCUCGCUCCUCCCCGUACGCUGCCGUCGUCGUGCACUCCGAGAUCCCGCGGCCACCGUCGUUUCCUCGACUGCAGCUCGUGUCCAUGAGUGCUGCCUCGCUCACCUCCCUCGAGCUGGCGCCCUGCAUCGCCUCGGGGAGCAUCGCAUCGACCUCGUCGUCUCUGUCAACACCCGCGGCCACCGGAACCUUGUCGUCGACCCCCUCGACUCCGGCACCCCUGGCUCCCAGAGCACCUCAUCUGAAUCCGCUACACCGAGACCGACGCCGCUGCUACCCAGUAUGACUACGGUGUUGACGACCCCUCUCUCUUGCCAGAGCAACCAGACAUUGGAGCCCAGGAGCCAGACGCCAUCGUCGACAACGGCUACUACUACUCGGGAGGUGCCUACUACUACGUCCAGCCUACUGACGACGACCAGGAGUAGUUUAGGAGGAUCCCAGGCAGGAGGCCUGCGCCUCUUUCGAUCUAUAUCCCAGUUUGUGCUAGCCUUCUUAAGGCAAACUUGUUUAACCUAUGUCUGUACUCAGAUAUUGUUGCUUCCGCUGACUCGUCUAUGAUCGAGCUCUUGUAUUCGAGCCCUCGAGGCCCCUGGCUUGUAAUAUGAUGCUUGUAUGACUUAUUUUAUUUGU